Molecule: non-coding RNA, 112 nt
Organism: Acanthosepion pharaonis
Lineage: Eukaryota; Metazoa; Mollusca; Cephalopoda; Sepiida; Sepiidae
Source: the annotation of a GenBank genome assembly
AUGGCCAUAUCACAUUGAAACACUAGUUCUCAUACAAUCACUGAAGUUAAGUAAUGUUAAGUCUGGUCAGUACCUAGAUGGGUGACUGCUUUGGGAAUACCAGGUGCUGUGA